Molecule: long non-coding RNA, 302 nt
Organism: Lathyrus oleraceus (garden pea)
Lineage: Eukaryota; Viridiplantae; Streptophyta; Magnoliopsida; Fabales; Fabaceae
Exons: 2
Source: RefSeq, a predicted model, not a curated record
UCGGAUCUUGGGCGGGUUAAAUUUAACCCCAAGAAGAAGAAGCAGAAUCGAACCUAACAAUGUAUGAAAAAUCCUCUGAAAGGGUCCGGAUUUGCGACGGGAGGAGUCGCUGAAUGAUGGUUUAACAAUACAAAAACAAAAAAUCUACUAUGCUCUUACACAUGAAGAGCCAAGAGGGUAAAGGCAAAAAAAAGUCAGUAAACUUCAAAAGAGGGACCACACAUACAAAUGUUUUUUUUGUAAAUUUUGUUAGAUUUAAUGUAAAACAAAUGUAUUAUUUGUUAUAAAUAUAAAAUUUAUUA